This is a long non-coding RNA of Mus caroli (Ryukyu mouse), 457 nucleotides long. RefSeq lists it as uncharacterized. Lineage: Eukaryota; Metazoa; Chordata; Mammalia; Rodentia; Muridae. The record is from RefSeq and is a predicted model, not a curated record.
GUGACAUCUUAUUAGGAAGCUCAGAACUGCCCCUCGUCACGCUGUUAGGACUGAGCUCGGUCAUGACACACAUGAAGCUAUGCCUCGUUAUAUGUUUUAAAUAAGAUGGAGAUGCAGAUGAAAAGAUCCUACGGAAGGUAGAACACAGGUCCCAGGAAGAAUGGAAGAAAUAGUAGAUGAGGAAAAGGGUGACAAGCCUUGCUCUCUUGGGCCACAUCAUCUAGAAGAUCUCCUGCAAAUCUCUUGUUGAAGUCCAUGGAUGUGGGAAGAGUAUUAAGAAAUGAGACCUAGUGAACUUUGUGCCAGGUCUGAAGCCAUAUUUCUGCCAUCAAACAGGACUCUGCAGUUGCUCCCAUCUCUCUUUCUCUCUCACUGUUUCUUUUCCUCUCUCCUCCCUCUGACCUUUGUGGGUGAAUAAAGGAUGGGGGCCAUUUUCUAAACUCAUCUCUCCCCCCAC